Long non-coding RNA from Helianthus annuus (common sunflower), 470 nucleotides. RefSeq lists it as uncharacterized. The record is from RefSeq and is a predicted model, not a curated record. Lineage: Eukaryota; Viridiplantae; Streptophyta; Magnoliopsida; Asterales; Asteraceae. The transcript has 2 exons.
CCUCAAUUCACGGAACACGCCUUUUUCUGUUUCGAAUAUACUCACUCACGCGAAGCUCGUGGAGCUUUUACUUUUAUUUUGUGUUAAUAAUUGUAGUGUUGUGUUUUUAGUUUUGAAUAUAUUUUGGUUGAAAGAGUUUAACAUGAAGAACCUUAGUCUGAUUACUCUUUUUAUUCUUCUUCUAGUUUGUAUGGCUAAAGGAAGCAUAAGUGUUACCAAGGAGACAAAAGAAGUAACAACACAAAAGAGUGAUGAUAUUAUUCAUGACCAGAAGUAUUGUUGCUAUGACAAUAAUGUGGGUCCUGAAUGUUACGGUUCAGAGAAAGACUGUAAGAAAAAUUGCAAAAGUGAAUGUGAAGGCCUGCUUGGUUGACGAGAUUCCAAUUAGAAAGAAUAAAGUAAAACAAAUUGUUGUCUUACUAUUUAUGUAAUAUUAUCUAAACUGCAAUCUAAUUUAUGUUUAGGGUGUU